RNAcentral lists this ribosomal RNA (252 nucleotides) under uncultured bacterium. Its description in RNAcentral is "partial 16S ribosomal RNA". It matches the Rfam family "Bacterial small subunit ribosomal RNA", at positions 524 to 776 of the family's 1533-position model. The record is from RNAcentral.
UACGGAGGAUGCGAGCGUUAUCCGGAUUUAUUGGGUUUAAAGGGUGCGUAGGCGGAAUGCCAAGUCAGCGGUAAAAUCGCGGGGCUCAACCUCGCUCCGCCGUUGAAACUGGUGUUCUUGAGUGGGCGAGAAGUAUGCGGAAUGCGUGGUGUAGCGGUGAAAUGCAUAGAUAUCACGCAGAACUCCGAUUGCGAAGGCAGCAUACCGGCGCCCAACUGACGCUGAAGCACGAAAGCGUGGGUAUCGAACAGG